GAUGAACGCUGGCGGCGUGCCUAAUACAUGCAAGUCGAGCGAACAGACGAGGAGCUUGCUCCUCUGACGUUAGCGGCGGGCGGGUGAGUAACACGUGGAUAACCUACCUAUAAGACUGGGAUAACUUCGGGAAACCGGAGCUAAUACCGGAUAAUAUAUUGAACCGCAUGGUUCAAUAGUGAAAGACGGUUUUGCUGUCACUUAUAGAUGGAUCCGCGCCGCAUUAGCUAGUUGGUAAGGUAACGGCUUACCAAGGCAACGAUGCGUAGCCGACCUGAGAGGGUGAUCGGCCACACUGGAACUGAGGCACGGUCCAGACUCCUACGGGAGGCAGCAGUAGGGAAUCUUCCACAAUGGGCGAAAGCCUGACGGAGCAACGCCGCGUGAGUGAUGAAGGUCUUCGGAUCGUAAAACUCUGUUAUUAGGGAAGAACAAAUGUGUAAGUAACUAUGCACGUCUUGACGGUACCUAAUCAGAAAGCCACGGCUAACUACGUG
RNAcentral lists this ribosomal RNA (497 nucleotides) under uncultured bacterium. RNAcentral's name for it is "partial 16S ribosomal RNA". It matches the Rfam family "Bacterial small subunit ribosomal RNA", at positions 28 to 507 of the family's 1533-position model. The record is from RNAcentral.